RNAcentral lists this ribosomal RNA (213 nucleotides) under uncultured bacterium. RNAcentral describes it as "partial 16S ribosomal RNA". It matches the Rfam family "Bacterial small subunit ribosomal RNA", at positions 524 to 736 of the family's 1533-position model. The record is from RNAcentral.
GACGUAGGGCGCGAGCGUUGUCCGGAUUUAUUGGGCGUAAAGAGCUCGUAGGCGGCUUGUCGCGUCGAAUGUGAAAACCCACGGCUCAACUGUGGGCUUGCAUUCGAUACGGGCAGGCUAGAGUUCGGUAGGGGAGACUGGAAUUCCUGGUGUAGCGGUGAAAUGCGCAGAUAUCAGGAGGAACACCGAGUGGCGAAGGCAUCCCGUGGCCUG